GAUAUCAACUGAAAAAGUCAUCAACAAUAAAGUUGAAUAACUCAUCAAGAUCUAAAACUUUUAUUUUGGUCAUUUCUUCAUACGACAAAGUGAUAGUAACAUUGUUCACAAAAUUGACAUAUCUCUUAUCUGGUUUUAUAAACUAUAACACAUAUAUGUAAAAUUUGUGAAUAAUAUUACUAACAUUUCGUCGGAUGAAGAAAUAACAAAAGUAAAAGUUUUAGAUCUUGAUGAGUUAUUCAACUUUGUUGUUGAUGACUUUUUCAAUUGAAAUC
RNAcentral lists this microRNA precursor (275 nucleotides) under Oryza sativa Japonica Group (Japanese rice). RNAcentral's name for it is "MIR821 microRNA precursor family". It matches the Rfam family "MIR821 microRNA precursor family". The record is from Rfam by way of RNAcentral. Lineage: Eukaryota; Viridiplantae; Streptophyta; Magnoliopsida; Poales; Poaceae.